AGAGUUUGAUCCUGGCUCAGGAUGAACGCUGGCGGCGUGCUUAACACAUGCAAGUCGAACGAAGCACUUUAUUACGAUUUCUUCGGAAUGACGGUUUAGUGACUGAGUGGCGGACGGGUGAGUAACGCGUGGGUAACCUGCCUUAUACAGGGGGAUAACAGUUAGAAAUGACUGCUAAUACCGCAUAAGCGCACAGGAUUGCAUGAUCUGGUGUGAAAAACUCCGGUGGUAUAAGAUGGACCCGCGUCUGAUUAGCUGGUUGGUGAGGUAACGGCCCACCAAGGCGACGAUCAGUAGCCGACCUGAGAGGGUGACCGGCCACAUUGGGACUGAGACACGGCCCAAACUCCUACGGGAGGCAGCAGUGGGGAAUAUUGCACAAUGGGGGAAACCCUGAUGCAGCGACGCCGCGUGGAGGAAGAAGGUCUUCGGAUUGUAAACUCCUGUUGUUGAGGAAGAUAAUGACGGUACUCAACAAGGAAGUGACGGCUAACUACGUGCCAGCAGCCGCGGUAAAACGUAGGUCACAAGCGUUGUCCGGAAUUACUGGGUGUAAAGGGAGCGCAGGCGGGAAGACAAGUUGGAAGUGAAAUCCAUGGGCUCAACCCAUGAACUGCUUUCAAAACUGUUUUUCUUGAGUAGUGCAGAGGUAGGCGGAAUUCCCGGUGUAGCGGUGGAAUGCGUAGAUAUCGGGAGGAACACCAGUGGCGAAGGCGGCCUACUGGGCACCAACUGACGCUGAGGCUCGAAAGUGUGGGUAGCAANACAGGAUUAGAUACCCUGGUAGUCCACACUGUAAACGAUGA
This 806-nucleotide ribosomal RNA is filed under the name uncultured bacterium. RNAcentral's name for it is "bacterial SSU rRNA". It matches the Rfam family "Bacterial small subunit ribosomal RNA", at positions 8 to 812 of the family's 1533-position model. The record is from RNAcentral.